This 2927-nucleotide ribosomal RNA is filed under the name Klebsiella aerogenes. RNAcentral's name for it is "23S ribosomal RNA". It matches the Rfam family "Bacterial large subunit ribosomal RNA". Lineage: Bacteria; Pseudomonadati; Pseudomonadota; Gammaproteobacteria; Enterobacterales; Enterobacteriaceae. The record is from RNAcentral.
GGGUUGUGAGGUUAAGCGACUAAGCGUACACGGUGGAUGCCCUGGCAGUCAGAGGCGAUGAAGGACGUGCUAAUCUGCGAAAAGCGUCGGUAAGGUGAUAUGAACCGUUACAGCCGGCGAUGUCCGAAUGGGGAAACCCAGUGCAAUUCGUUGCACUAUCGUUAACUGAAUACAUAGGUUAACGAGGCGAACCGGGGGAACUGAAACAUCUAAGUACCCCGAGGAAAAGAAAUCAACCGAGAUUCCCCCAGUAGCGGCGAGCGAACGGGGAGCAGCCCAGAGUCUGAAUCAGCUUGUGUGUUAGUGGAACGGUCUGGAAAGUCCGACGGUACAGGGUGAUAGUCCCGUACACCAAAAUGCACAGGCUGUGAACUCGAAGAGUAGGGCGGGACACGUGGUAUCCUGUCUGAAUAUGGGGGGACCAUCCUCCAAGGCUAAAUACUCCUGACUGACCGAUAGUGAACCAGUACCGUGAGGGAAAGGCGAAAAGAACCCCGGCGAGGGGAGUGAAAAAGAACCUGAAACCGUGUACGUACAAGCAGUGGGAGCACCUUCGGGUGUGACUGCGUACCUUUUGUAUAAUGGGUCAGCGACUUAUAUUCUGUAGCAAGGUUAACCGUAUAGGGGAGCCGCAGGGAAACCGAGUCUUAACUGGGCGUUAAGUUGCAGGGUAUAGACCCGAAACCCGGUGAUCUAGCCAUGGGCAGGUUGAAGGUUGGGUAACACUAACUGGAGGACCGAACCGACUAAUGUUGAAAAAUUAGCGGAUGACUUGUGGCUGGGGGUGAAAGGCCAAUCAAACCGGGAGAUAGCUGGUUCUCCCCGAAAGCUAUUUAGGUAGCGCCUCGUGAACUCAUCUUCGGGGGUAGAGCACUGUUUCGGCUAGGGGGUCAUCCCGACUUACCAACCCGAUGCAAACUACGAAUACCGAAGAAUGUUAUCACGGGAGACACACGGCGGGUGCUAACGUCCGUCGUGAAGAGGGAAACAACCCAGACCGCCAGCUAAGGUCCCAAAGUCACAGUUAAGUGGGAAACGAUGUGGGAAGGCACAGACAGCCAGGAUGUUGGCUUAGAAGCAGCCAUCAUUUAAAGAAAGCGUAAUAGCUCACUGGUCGAGUCGGCCUGCGCGGAAGAUGUAACGGGGCUAAACUGUGCACCGAAGCUGCGGCAGCGACACUUAGGUGUUGUUGGGUAGGGGAGCGUUCUGUAAGCCUGCGAAGGUGGCCUGUGAGGGUUGCUGGAGGUAUCAGAAGUGCGAAUGCUGACAUAAGUAACGAUAAUGCGGGUGAAAAGCCCGCACGCCGGAAGACCAAGGGUUCCUGUCCAACGUUAAUCGGGGCAGGGUGAGUCGACCCCUAAGGCGAGGCCGAAAGGCGUAGUCGAUGGGAAACAGGUUAAUAUUCCUGUACUUGGUGUUACUGCGAAGGGGGGACGGAGAAGGCUAUGUUAGCCGGGCGACGGUUGUCCCGGUUUAAGCAUGUAGGCGGAGGUUCCAGGUAAAUCCGGUACCUUUUUAACGCUGAGGUGUGAUGACGAGGCACUACGGUGCUGAAGUAACAAAUGCCCUGCUUCCAGGAAAAGCCUCUAAGCAUCAGGUAACAUUAAAUCGUACCCCAAACCGACACAGGUGGUCAGGUAGAGAAUACCAAGGCGCUUGAGAGAACUCGGGUGAAGGAACUAGGCAAAAUGGUGCCGUAACUUCGGGAGAAGGCACGCUGAUAUGUAGGUGAAGCCCCUGCGGGUGGAGCUGAAAUCAGUCGAAGAUACCAGCUGGCUGCAACUGUUUAUUAAAAACACAGCACUGUGCAAACACGAAAGUGGACGUAUACGGUGUGACGCCUGCCCGGUGCCGGAAGGUUAAUUGAUGGGGUUAUCCGUAAGGAGAAGCUCUUGAUCGAAGCCCCGGUAAACGGCGGCCGUAACUAUAACGGUCCUAAGGUAGCGAAAUUCCUUGUCGGGUAAGUUCCGACCUGCACGAAUGGCGUAAUGAUGGCCAGGCUGUCUCCACCCGAGACUCAGUGAAAUUGAACUCGCUGUGAAGAUGCAGUGUACCCGCGGCAAGACGGAAAGACCCCGUGAACCUUUACUAUAGCUUGACACUGAACAUUGAGCCUUGAUGUGUAGGAUAGGUGGGAGGCUUUGAAGCGUGGACGCCAGUCUGCGUGGAGCCAACCUUGAAAUACCACCCUUUAAUGUUUGAUGUUCUAACGUUGGCCCCUUAUCGGGGUUGCGGACAGUGUCUGGUGGGUAGUUUGACUGGGGCGGUCUCCUCCCAAAGAGUAACGGAGGAGCACGAAGGUUAGCUAAUCCUGGUCGGACAUCAGGAGGUUAGUGCAAUGGCAUAAGCUAGCUUGACUGCGAGCGUGACGGCGCGAGCAGGUGCGAAAGCAGGUCAUAGUGAUCCGGUGGUUCUGAAUGGAAGGGCCAUCGCUCAACGGAUAAAAGGUACUCCGGGGAUAACAGGCUGAUACCGCCCAAGAGUUCAUAUCGACGGCGGUGUUUGGCACCUCGAUGUCGGCUCAUCACAUCCUGGGGCUGAAGUAGGUCCCAAGGGUAUGGCUGUUCGCCAUUUAAAGUGGUACGCGAGCUGGGUUUAGAACGUCGUGAGACAGUUCGGUCCCUAUCUGCCGUGGGCGCUGGAGAAUUGAGGGGGGCUGCUCCUAGUACGAGAGGACCGGAGUGGACGCAUCACUGGUGUUCGGGUUGUCAUGCCAAUGGCAUUGCCCGGUAGCUAAAUGCGGAAGAGAUAAGUGCUGAAAGCAUCUAAGCACGAAACUUGCCCCGAGAUGAGUUCUCCCUGAGACUUUAAGUCUCCUGAAGGAACGUUAAAGACGAUGACGUUGAUAGGUCGGGUGUGUAAGCGUAGCGAUACGUUGAGCUAACCGAUACUAAUGAACCGUGAGGCUUAACCUUACAACGCCGAAG